Long non-coding RNA from Lynx canadensis (Canada lynx), 86 nucleotides. RefSeq lists it as uncharacterized. Lineage: Eukaryota; Metazoa; Chordata; Mammalia; Carnivora; Felidae. The transcript has 3 exons. The record is from RefSeq and is a predicted model, not a curated record.
CCUCCUGCUGAUCAAAAGGCUUACCAAAAACAUAAACAGUUGAAUAACACAUUUUGUAUGUUAUAUGAAUUAUCUACUGUAUUCUU